AUUUGUUACAUUUCUAUAUUUAAUCCACAAUCAUCUGUCAAUCUGUAUCUUACAAAGUUAUGUUCAUCUAUAAUUUAGGAAGAUAAAUGAUUUAACUUGGUCGUCACAUAGAUAUUUUGAAAAUCAGACCAAUAAUAAAGGAUGUUCGGCUUUAUUUCUACGGUAGUGUUAGAAGAAGAGAAAAACAAAUGCAUAAACACAUACCACAAGUUUGACAUAAGAAUCUAUAACUUUAAAAGUGUUGCAUUUAAUACUACAAAUUCAUUCAAUUGAAUUUAUAAUGUUAUAAAACUUAAUUCUUCACAAUGUUAUUCCAGUCCAGUUACAUUACCGUGUUGUGUGUCGCGCUCUGUCACAGGUUAGGGGAGGGUUUGAGCUUAAAUCUAGUCUAACCCACCACAUUCUGUAUGUGCCGGUCUCAAGCCAGGAGCCUAUAGUCUAGUUCACUGG
Molecule: long non-coding RNA, 450 nt
Filed under: Mytilus galloprovincialis (Mediterranean mussel)
Lineage: Eukaryota; Metazoa; Mollusca; Bivalvia; Mytilida; Mytilidae
Source: RNAcentral